CCUACGGGAGGCAGCAGUGAGGAAUAUUGGUCAAUGGCCGAGAGGCUGAACCAGCCAAGUCGCGGGAGGGAAGACGGCCCGACGGGUUGUAAACCUCUUUUGUCGGGGAGCAAAGAGAGGCACGUGUGACGCAGUGAGAGUACCCGAAGAAAAAGCAACGGCUAACUCCGUGCCAGCAGCCGCGGUAAUACGGAGGAUGCGAGCGUUAUCCGGAUUUAUUGGGUUUAAAGGGUGCGCCGGCGGAGGUGCAAGUCAGCGGUCAAAUUGCGGGGCUCAACCCCGUACUGCCGUUGAAACUGCCUCCCUUGAGUGCGCGAGAAGUAUGCUGCAUGCGUGGUGUAGCGGU
RNAcentral lists this ribosomal RNA (346 nucleotides) under uncultured bacterium. Its description in RNAcentral is "partial 16S ribosomal RNA". It matches the Rfam family "Bacterial small subunit ribosomal RNA", at positions 338 to 682 of the family's 1533-position model. The record is from RNAcentral.